Streptococcus sp. DORA_10 is the source of this 95-nucleotide non-coding RNA. The record is from Rfam. NCBI's taxonomy places the organism in Bacteria, Bacillati, Bacillota, Bacilli, Lactobacillales, Streptococcaceae.
AUGUCAUCCCGUGAGGUGACGAAGACGCAGAAAUACUUGAAACUCUUUAAAGUCUAGAUUUUAGAGAAGUCUUACUCUGAGGGCCUAUUGCUGUA